GCACUCACUUCGGCAGCACAGAUACUAAAAUUGGAACGAUACAGAGAUUAGCAUGGCCCCUGCACAAGGGUGACAUGCAAAUUCGUGAAGCGUUCCAUAUUUUU
RNAcentral lists this small nuclear RNA (104 nucleotides) under Meriones unguiculatus (Mongolian gerbil). The record is from RNAcentral. Lineage: Eukaryota; Metazoa; Chordata; Mammalia; Rodentia; Muridae.